GUGUUGGCGAGCUGUGCGGCGUGCUGCCUUACCGCCCUCUGGUGCCCUGUGGGGGCUCGGGCGUGCAGGCGGGUGGCGUCUGCCGCGCUAAGGGAGGGAAGAAGGGAGCCGGGAGAGCUGUUGCUGGGGUGGUUAUCAAACUGCGGAGGAGCUUUGAUCUGGGAGCAGGGACCUUUACUGAUCGAUGCCGUAUUAAUAGCAGCCCUUGAAGAUUGCUCUGUACAUUGGCUUGUAAAUCCAGCUCCUUCUCUGCACCGUUUGGUACCAAGUGCCUUAAUGAAAUCCAGGAAAGAAGUUGUUUAAACCUGCUUUUAUCCUCCAAAUCUGGAAGAAGAACAACUCAAGGGCUGGACUCCUGGCUGGAGACAGCGUGCUAACACUGAUAAAAAUAAUUAAGGUUUAUGGCCUAGAAAGGCGGGUAGAUGUGACGUGAUCGGUUCUAAAUGCUGCUGGGAACGUUGCACACAGGAAAAUUUCCAUUAAACCUGGAAUACCGCCCCCAUGCUUGAGCUUGGAGGAACAGUGACGACUCUUUAUUUGCCAAAGGGUGUAUGGCUUCGUUAUUAAAACCUGCGCUGGAGUUCAGUACCUCUUCUCCCUCCUGUCGGGCCGUCGUUUCGCCUCUCGGCGCAGUUCGGAAGGCCGCCGCCGCCACCUAGUGACAGCUCUGCGCACUGUGACAGCCCUGCACGCAGUGACAGCCCUGCACACAGUGACGGCCUUGUACGUACUGGCACCGAGACCUGCGGCGAUACACUGCUCUGGUCCCCACGUGCGGUGUGUGAGCACCUGGAGAGGACUUCUCCUUCCUCUGUGUGUUUGGAGGAUGCGCUCAUGGAAAUCUUCCACUCUAACACACGGUGGUAAAACCGUUUCUAAAGCCUAGGAUUGAGCAAAGCGUUUCUGAGACAGGACAAGAGGUAACGACCAUACACUGCACCAGGGGAGGUUCAGGUUGGAUAUCAGGAAACAUUUCUUCUCAGAAAGAGUGGUGAGGCAUUGGAACGGGCUGCCCAGGGAGGUGGUGGAGUCACUAUUCCUGGAGGUGUUCAAAGAACAUAUAGGAGUGGCACUGAGAGACAUAGUUUAAUGGGCAUGGGUGAGUGGCUGGACUAGAUCUGUUUACUGGUCUUUUCCAAAUGUAAUGUGCAAAGAGAGAGCCUAAAAGAAAUUGAAACAACAUUUAAAAAGAAAAAAAAAAUCUUUACAGGCAGAAGCAUGUGGGAGAGGUGGACAUAUAAAAGGUCCAGCUUAGAGGCUGUAAAGGAAAUUUAAUCAAAUAAUAAAAGCUGUCUUGGCCAUAUAAAGAAAAAUUAAGAGAAAUGGAUGUCUUACAUAUUGUAGGUGUUGGCAUUAAAAUGAAUCUAGGCACUGCCCCAAACUAUUUGUCUCAGCUUUGGUAAUGAUACUGGCAUUAUACACAGAAGCAAAAUCAAAACAGUGAAUGUGAGUGGGUGUGGAAACAGAUGUUAUUACAGGCAAGGUAAAAGCAAAGUGCAAAGAGCUCAGCUCUUGAGGAGGCUCAGAAACAGAGAUAAUAAAGCUCAUGAUAAGAGUUUUAAUGCAUUUGCUGAAACAGUUGCAAUGCCAUGUGAUUAAACAUUAGACAUUGAAGUAAG
This is a long non-coding RNA of Gallus gallus (chicken), 1619 nucleotides long. NCBI's taxonomy places the organism in Eukaryota, Metazoa, Chordata, Aves, Galliformes, Phasianidae. The record is from Ensembl.